GUGCUCACUUAGGCAGCACACGUACUAAAAUUGGAAUGAUACAGAGAAGAUUGAUAUGGCACCUGAACAUGGAUGACAUGUAAAUUUGUCAAGUAUUCCAUACAUUU
This 107-nucleotide small nuclear RNA is filed under the name Propithecus coquereli (Coquerel's sifaka). The record is from RNAcentral. Lineage: Eukaryota; Metazoa; Chordata; Mammalia; Primates; Indriidae.